RNAcentral lists this ribosomal RNA (741 nucleotides) under Listeria monocytogenes. Its description in RNAcentral is "bacterial SSU rRNA". It matches the Rfam family "Bacterial small subunit ribosomal RNA", at positions 1 to 723 of the family's 1533-position model. Lineage: Bacteria; Bacillati; Bacillota; Bacilli; Caryophanales; Listeriaceae. The record is from RNAcentral.
UUUAAAGAGAGUUUGAUCCUGGCUCAGGACGAACGCUGGCGGCGUGCCUAAUACAUGCAAGUCGAACGAACGGAGGAAGAGCUUGCUCUUCCAAAGUUAGUGGCGGACGGGUGAGUAACACGUGGGCAACCUGCCUGUAAGUUGGGGAUAACUCCGGGAAACCGGGGCUAAUACCGAAUGAUAAAGUGUGGCGCAUGCCACGCUUUUGAAAGAUGGUUUCGGCUAUCGCUUACAGAUGGGCCCGCGGUGCAUUAGCUAGUUGGUAGGGUAAUGGCCUACCAAGGCAACGAUGCAUAGCCGACCUGAGAGGGUGAUCGGCCACACUGGGACUGAGACACGGCCCAGACUCCUACGGGAGGCAGCAGUAGGGAAUCUUCCGCAAUGGACGAAAGUCUGACGGAGCAACGCCGCGUGUAUGAAGAAGGUUUUCGGAUCGUAAAGUACUGUUGUUAGAGAAGAACAAGGAUAAGAGUAACUGCUUGUCCCUUGACGGUAUCUAACCAGAAAGCCACGGCUAACUACGUGCCAGCAGCCGCGGUAAUACGUAGGUGGCAAGCGUUGUCCGGAUUUAUUGGGCGUAAAGCGCGCGCAGGCGGUCUUUUAAGUCUGAUGUGAAAGCCCCCGGCUUAACCGGGGAGGGUCAUUGGAAACUGGAAGACUGGAGUGCAGAAGAGGAGAGUGGAAUUCCACGUGUAGCGGUGAAAUGCGUAGAUAUGUGGAGGAACACCAGUGGCGAAGGCG